This 554-nucleotide ribosomal RNA is filed under the name uncultured bacterium. RNAcentral's name for it is "partial 16S ribosomal RNA". It matches the Rfam family "Bacterial small subunit ribosomal RNA", at positions 355 to 900 of the family's 1533-position model. The record is from RNAcentral.
UAGGGAAUCUUCCACAAUGGACGCAAGUCUGAUGGAGCAACGCCGCGUGAGUGAAGAAGGUUUUCGGACCGUAAAGCUCCGUUGUUGGUGAAGAAGGAUAGAGGUAGUAACUGGCCUUUAUUUGACGGUAAUCAACCAGAAAGUCACGGCUAACUACGUGCCAGCAGCCGCGGUAAUACGUAGGUGGCAAGCGUUGUCCGGAUUUAUUGGGCGUAAAGCGAGCGCAGGCGGAAGAAUAAGUCUGAUGUGAAAGCCCUCGGCUUAACCGAGGAAUUGCAUCGGAAACUGUUUUCUUGAGUGCAGAAGAGGAGAGUAGAACUCCAUGUGUAGCGGUGGAAUGCGUAGAUAUAUGGAAGAAUACCAGUGGCGAAGGCGGCUCUCUGGUCUGCAACUGACGCUGAGGCUCGAAAGCAUGGGUAGCGAACAGGAUUAGAUACCCUGGUAGUCCAUGCCGUAAACGAUGAGUGCUAAGUGUUGGGAGGCUUCCGCCUCUCAGUGCUGCAGCUAACGCAUUAAGCACUCCGCCUGGGGGAGUACGACCGCAAGGUUGAAAC